GAUGAACGCUGGCGGCGUGCCUAAUACAUGCAAGUCGAGCGAACGGACGAGAAGCUUGCUUCUCUGAUGUUAGCGGCGGACGGGUGUGUAACGCGUGGAUAACCUCCCUAAAAAACUGGGAAAACUUCGGGAAACCGGAGCUAAUCCCGGAUAAUAUUUUGAACCGCAUGGUUCAAAAGUGAAAGACGGUCUUGCUGUCACUUCUAGCUGGAUCCGCGCUGCAUUAGCUAGUUGGUAAGGUAACGGCUUACCAAGGCAACGAUGCAUAGCCGACCGGGGAGGGGGGUAGGCCACAUGGGAAGUGAGACGCGGACCAUAGUCCUAAGGGAGGGAGCAGUAGGCAACCGGACGCAACGGUCGAAAGCCUUACGGAGCAGCGGGAAGCGAGAUGUGGCGGCGCUGGGUGCGGAAUACUGUGUUUCGAGUGAAAAACAUAUUUGUACGUAACUGAGCACAUCUUGACGGUAGCUAAUCAGAAAGCCACGGCUAACUACGUG
RNAcentral lists this ribosomal RNA (497 nucleotides) under uncultured bacterium. Its description in RNAcentral is "partial 16S ribosomal RNA". It matches the Rfam family "Bacterial small subunit ribosomal RNA", at positions 28 to 507 of the family's 1533-position model. The record is from RNAcentral.